This 253-nucleotide ribosomal RNA is filed under the name uncultured bacterium. RNAcentral describes it as "partial 16S ribosomal RNA". It matches the Rfam family "Bacterial small subunit ribosomal RNA", at positions 524 to 776 of the family's 1533-position model. The record is from RNAcentral.
UACGGAGGGGGCUAGCGUUGUUCGGAAUUACUGGGCGUAAAGCGCGUGUAGGCGGGUCCUUAAGUCGGGGGUGAAAGCCCGGGGCUCAACCUCGGAACUGCCUUCGAUACUGAGGACCUGGAGUCUGGGAGAGGUGAGCGGAAUUCCGAGUGUAGAGGUGAAAUUCGUAGAUAUUCGGUGGAACACCAGAGGCGAAGGCGGCUCACUGGACCAGUACUGACGAUGAGACGCGAAAGAGUGGGGAGCAAACAGG